GAUGAACGCUGGCGGCGUGCCUAAUACAUGCAAGUCGAGCGAACAGACGAGGAGCUUGCUCCUCUGACGUUAGCGGCGGACGGGUGAGUAACACGUGGAUAACCUACCUAUAAGACUGGGAUAACUUCGGGAAACCGGAGCUAAUACCGGAUAAUAUAUUGAACCGCAUGGUUCAAUAGUGAAAGACGGUUUUGCUGUCACUUAUAGAUGGAUCCGCGCCGCAUUAGCUAGUUGGUAAGGUAACGGCUUACCAAGGCAACGAUGCGUAGCCGACCUGAGAGGGUGAUCGGCCACACUGGAACUGAGACACGGUCCAGACGCCUACGGGAGGCAGCAGUAGGAAUCUUCCGCAAUGGGCGAAAGCUUGACGGAGCAACGCCGCGUGAGUGAUGAAGGUCUUCGGAUCGUAAAACUCUGUUAUUAGGGAAGAACAAAUGUGUAAGUAACUAUGCACGCCUUGACGGUACCUAAUCAGAAAGCCACGGCUAACUACGUG
This 496-nucleotide ribosomal RNA is filed under the name uncultured bacterium. RNAcentral's name for it is "partial 16S ribosomal RNA". It matches the Rfam family "Bacterial small subunit ribosomal RNA", at positions 28 to 507 of the family's 1533-position model. The record is from RNAcentral.